Phyllopteryx taeniolatus (common seadragon) is the source of this 10698-nucleotide RNA transcript. It is a transcript of the gene named granulito, with no coding region annotated. The transcript is spliced from 6 exons. The record is from RefSeq and is a predicted model, not a curated record. Lineage: Eukaryota; Metazoa; Chordata; Actinopteri; Syngnathiformes; Syngnathidae.
GUUGUUGGUUAACGUGGCUAUUGUGUUGUCCUGUUGAACGCAACUUUGGGGUUUGGAGUGAGUUUCUACGCGAGACCUGGGUGGGCUCGUCGCUAGCGUUUCUGUUAGCAUUUUGCGAAGUCAUUUUGUCUUGACGAUCAAGUAUCAUUUCAGCGUUGGGCUCGCUCAAGUACUUUCUUGGACAUAUGGGAUGGAUGCAUGGAUUGAUGGAUGGAUAUUGGAUAAACAACAUUGCUCUCUGGAUGUGUGUCUUCAGCCCGUUGGCGGGUGGUCACAAUGGGUAACGUUUGAAAUGGCGGAUAGAGAUUUAUGCAGCUGACGUCAACAAGCGUGCUUGCGGGAUUUUGUGCUUCCGUUUUAAACAAUCGGAUGCCGCUUGAUAAAGCUCAUCGUAUUUUCCCAGCGUUUUGUCUGGAGCUCAUUGUUUACGUUAUACGUACAAAUGCAUACUUUUGUCCUCUAAUUGACCGAUGUUGUGUAUAUAGCAGUAUUCCUCAGCCUCUAUUGAGCCAAGGCACAUAUUUAAUAUUACAAAAAUCUUAUGGCGAACUACCAAUCAAAAAGUGUUACAAAAGUUUAUACAGUAGUGCCUUCAGAUACGAGUUUAUUUCGUUCCGUGACCAUGCUGCUUUUAAUUGAAAACACUUGUCUAAAAUCAUUAGUCCCCAUUGACAUUGAAUGAAAAUACCAUUCUGUUCCAGCCGACCGCUCCCAUAUUUUUUUGUUUUUGUUUUUCACCAAUUAAAUGUAUCUUUCUAUAAUAUCGUGCCGUAUAAAAACAGAGUAAUAAAAAGCAUUAGACAACUUGUGACUAGGUGGAAUGGUGGAAGACACAUCUGCCUCACAGUUCUGAGGCCCGGGGUUCAAAUCCCGGCCCCGCCUCUGUGGAGUUGGCAUGUUCUCCCCAUGCCUGCAUUGGUUUUCUCCGGGCACUCCGGUUUCCUCCCACUUUCCAAAAACAUUAAUCGUAGGUUGAUUGAGGACUCAAAAUUGCCCUUAGGUGUGAAUGUGUGUGCGAAUGGUUGUUUGUUUAUAUGUGCCCUGCGAUUGGCUGGCGACCAGUUCAGGGUGUUUCCCCGCCUCUCGCCCAAAGAUUGCUGGGAUAGGCUCCAGCACGCUCGCGACCCUAUUGAGGAUAAGCGGAACGGAAGAUGAAUGAAUGAACUUGUGACUACGGUUUGAUUAGAUGAUUGUUUGAAGCCAAACUUGCUAAAAUGUUGUUUUCUUUAUGGCUGGUGUCUUCGGACAAAGUUAAACACGUUUUUAUAUAUACACACAUACGUUUUUGAUAUAUGUCAACAUGAAUGAAGGCUAAACAUGGAAUAUUGUCAUCUAUGGGACUUUGUAGACGUUUCAAGUCCCUGCGGUUGCUUUGUCCCUCUUCUCCAUUUACCCGACUUGGGAGAAACUCGUUUUACCGAAUGCGUAGUAGGUUGCGCAUAUACUGUGGUCAGUGUGCUGCGCGUUCUGGUGUGCACACCUUGGCUGCCAUGAGACAGUAGUUAGUGUAUAAUAUUGUACAGUCAUGUGUUAAACGAAGAACAGACUUAUUCUUCUACUAUAUUACUUCUCAGUAAGUUGCUGUAAUAGUAAUUUUUUUUAUAGAGGAUGAAGAAUAUGCUCAAGUUUUGUUAUCUUUUUGUGUAAUGACUAUUGAUGCUAAUUGAAUAUCAAUUGCAUUUUCUGUUUGUUGGCAUUAAGCUAGCGGACAUGAAGACAGUUAUUUGGUUGUUUAAAAUACGCCAACAUGUAAUUCUUCAUGUUCAGUUUGACAAACUUCAACUGGGAGUGGCAUUUAACAAUUUGAUGACUCUUGAUGAAAUGUUUACUAUUUGCCAAAAAUGCUGCUUAUUGUGAAGUGAGUUGAAUUGAGUUUUUAUUGCCACCACAAAAUACUUGUAUCUUAAGUUUGCGCUCCCAAGUUAAGGCAAAAAUUCGUCUGAAUGUUAGCUUGUAUCUCACAACUUGUAAGUCGAGUCAGUCGUAUCUCAAGGCACCACUCUAUACAGAAAUUCUGAUCUAUGUAGCUAAACACAAAGCUGAUAUAUGUGCAGGAUUUGAAGAAAGACAGAGCUUAAUAAUUUUUGGAUCAUUUAAGUGAAAUUUUAUAAUUUCAUAGGACACACCUGAUCUCUUAAUGCACAUUGUGGUUUGGAAUCCCUGGUAUAUACAGUACAUCUACUUAUUGGUUUAUAUUUUGCGUGGUACUUACUGCAGUAAUUGAAGUAGUGCGAUGUUAGGGUGCUUGUCCCAGUGGUGGACAAUCACAUUGUAAUGUGCCCUUUCCGACCCUUUUGUGUGGUGAACAAAAGUGGUGGUGGGGGGACCGCGUUGCUUAAUUGUGACUGGUCACGACUGGAAUUUUAUUUUGUAUUGUGGCACACUGAGGAUACAAUAUUGUUGGUGUACUGAAUGAUAGUGGGACAGACGGAGGCUGUCAAACACAAUGUGUUUUUUGUCAAUUGAUUGUCUGGUUCUUUUUUUAAAAGUCAUCAUCAAAGUAUUUGUAAGUAGGCAAGUGGUUGAAAAUGUACAAAUGUAGCCUAAAUGUGUUGAGUGAAUUGGAUUUGCAAGAUUGAGGUUCUCUAGGCACAUGCGGACAGAGAGCUGCUUUGAUCAUAUACAGUGCCGUGAGAAAGUAUUUGCUGCCUUCUCAAAUUCUUAUUUUUUUUUGCAUAGUUUCCCCACUCUAAUGGUUAAGAUCAUCAAACAAAUGUAAAUAAUAUACAAAGGUAACCCAUGUAAACAUAAAAUGCAGUUUUUAAAUGGUGAUUGUGUUAAGGGAAAAAAAAUCAAUUCAAACCUACCUUGUCCUGUGUGAAUACGUAAAUGCCCCCUUGUUAAAUCAUGAAUUAACUGUAGCUAAUCACAUUUUUUGGAAGGCUGAGUUCAUUUUUAAUUAGGCUUUACACGAUCAGGAUUUUUGGGACUGAUAUUGCAUGUUUACGUACAACCGUUAAGUGCUAGGACUAGCUUGCUAGGCUACAUAACGUUUUUGUUGCCUGCUUGCGAGCCGUAUCGUAUUAAAAGUACGUGAACAUACCUCAAGCAAGCCUUAAACGAACGUCCAAAAUAUCUCCACAGAGAUGUGAAAGACUCACUGCCAGUUCUAGAAAACGCCUUAUUUCAGUUGUUGCUGCUGGGGAUGGUCUUAGCAGUUAUCAGGUUUAGGAGGCAAUUACUUUAUCCACAGAGCAAGGUAGCUUUGAAUUUUUUUGUCUUUAACUAAAAACUGAAUUUUAUGAUUACUUGGGUUAUCUUUCUGAUAUUUAUGUUUAAUGAUCUUAAUAUUAAAGUGGGGAAACGAUGCCAAAAAAAUGAAGGGGGCAAAUACUUUUUGACGGCACUUUAUACAGUAUACAAGGCAUGACAACUUUUUUGCUCACCAGCCAUUGUGGCUACUGGUUUCCCAGCAUUACUAGAAACACAAAAAUACAUUUGCUGAUGGUGCUAAAACUUUUUUCCAGAUCAAAAUAAAUUUAUCAAAGGGGGGUGAUUGCAAGAACUCUUCCCGGGUGGCAUUGAGAGAAAUCUUUCUGGAUUUAAAUUAGGGUUGCCACAAGCAAUUAUUUUGAUAAUCGACUAGUCACCGAUUAUUUUUGCCUUUAGUUGACUUCAUAAGCUUCAAUUUAGACAUGACCCGAUUCCAAGGGUCAUGUCUAAAUUGAAGCUUAUUGCAUCAGCAAGUAGAUGCUCUUAUAUAACCAUCAUCAUCUUCCAGUUUGUGUUAAAGGUAUGUGCACAAUGAAAGUAAUAGAUCAUUCAAGUUGUAAUACUUUGUAGCUUGUACCAGCAUUCUUGAAAUGGUUCAUAAUUUUUAUAUAUGAUAGUGCAAAUUUUAAUGAAGGUAAUACCCUGGCCUUUUAACAUGUUAGCUUGUACAUAGCGAAAAUCGUCUAAUUGACACCCAUUAUAAUUGCAUUGAAGAAACAAAAAUAAAAAAUCUCAUGAAAAUCAAUUGUGAAAUGAGCAAGUUAUGACUUAUUUUCAGUGUACGCAUUGCCUUUGAUGGGAACGUUGCUGCCACCAAGAUGGCCGCCACGAAGGCAUGUUGGUUGCAUGCUGUUACAUCGCACUGGCGUAUCGCGUGUUCUAUCCAUAUGUGGUUAUAACUUUACAUCAAACAUAUAACCUAUGUGCUAGAGCUAAUGGAAUCAUCAUCGUUAGCCUUAAGAUAAUGUUAAAGUUUGCAGUUUUAAGAAAGUUUCUUCACUAACGGUGACGUUAAUAUUAACAGCUAGCUAGCCAUAUAGCUAACCGCGGUUAUUAUCCUUUGUUAGAAAUUGAAUCGCUCCAAUGUACUUGCUUUUUAGAUACUUGUGAAUGACUGACUGUCAUACUGCCAUGAAGGACAAGUUCCUUCUUGCAAGUUGUGCAUCAUAUUCCUCUUUAGUAUUUUUGGUGAAAUGAUCAAACUUUUGGCCUUUGUUUCUAACGCAGGUUAGCCAAGAUUACAGUUAGCCGCAGUUUUUUCAGUUCAUUCACGGCCGACAUGGAUUACCACUACUGCGCAUGUGCGUCAAGUGCAGAAGGCAGACGUCAGCGGGAGGCUCCUGAGGCAGUUCUGAGAGUAAAACAAACGUUAAAAAAAGAAUAAAUGUCGAUUAUCAAAUUAAUUGUACUGCCACAUCUUAAAAUCACCCACAUUUGGCGGGUUUGUGGGUGUUAAUGUCCAGCCUUUAAAACACUUAAUUUGUGGUAGUCUUAAACUUUUUGGGAUGGUUUUCCACUUUUUCUUUCCAGGACAGAAUGUAUGGUACAGAAAUGUUGCUUUUUCCAAAGGUAUUUGUUGUAGACUUCUGAAAAAUACUUCCUUAGUGUGAUGGACAACACUUGGGUGGCUCAACAAUCUUGGUUGAAAUGGUUGUACCAGCAAUGGCUACGAUAGAGUUCUUCAUGGAUGGGAGUAUUUUGGGGAAACUGUUGCUUUAUUUUGUUAGAUGUGAUGUUUCUGAGGACUCAAGGUCUAUUGGAGUUUCUUCACCAAUCAGUAUUGUUUGCAAGCUACAUAUUCGGUAAUAGCAGAUGUGUGAUUGAUUAAAAAUGGUUAGUUUCUCUGCAUCUAAUGUAAGUGGUGCCAGAGGCAGUGGUGAAUUUGGCAGUUUAUGUUGUAUAUGUUUAGACUGACUUGUGCUACCGGCAAAUGUGAGAGUAAGUGGUGGCAAAUGGAGUCAAAUGUGGGCAGUGACGGGCAACGGUAAUGUUUCUUUGCCAGAAUCAAAACUUUUAUCUCACAUGAUUUUUGACAUGCUGGGUAUUUUGAAGAGUUCCAUGUGGAUUGGCAUUUCAGUUGGAACUGAAUGUAGUUAUUAGUGUCUUUGUGAAUAUAGUUGCUCAAAAACAAGGGGAUUGAUACUUGGGAGCUAAUCUUGUGGUGGUCAGUUGUCCACUUAUCCACAGCAGUACUUUAAUGCUGUUGUGCUUAGUGUUGCCAUUUUGAGUGUUUGGGUUCAAAUACAUUUUUAGACUUUUUGUCUUCAAUUAAAUACCUCAGCUCACAUUGCUUAUCAGGUCAUGUGGUGAUGUUGGAAUGGCAGAGAGUUUAGAGCUGAGAAGCUCUGAUGGGAAUAAUGCUAUUCUAUACCCUUCUGUCUGCAGGUGCUGUUGUUUGUGCUUCAGCAUGGCAGUCGUCAUCCGUUUACAGGGAUUGAGGAUCACUGCUGGUUCUCAGGAUGUUCGCAAAUUCUUCACUGGACUCAAAAUUCCAGACGGUGGUGUACACAUAAUUGGAGGCGAGCGGGAGGAAGCUUUCAUUAUUUUUGCUUCUGAUGAAGAUGCAAGAAGAGCCAUGACGCGCUCGGGGGGUCAAAUUAAGGGGGGACAUGUGACUUUGCUGCUCAGUAGCAAAGCAGAGAUGCAGGGCAUACUUGAAAAAAGUGCCAUAAAUACAGAGACUGAUCAAAAGAGUCAUGUAGAAGACAACACAAGGCACCCCCGACGGUCUUUGGAGGCUGACUCCAACAAGAGGUCUGCAAGUAGAGCAGACGUCUCUCCUCCACCCCGCCAAAAGAGACCCUCAAACUCAAAUGAAGACUCCACAUGUGUUUUUCUGAAAGGAUUGCCCUUCAGUGUGUCCGAAAGAGACAUUUUUGAAUUUUUCAAUGGUUUACGUAUCAUCGACAUGGUUCUGUUGAAAAAUGCAACCGGAAAAAACAAUGGGAUGGGACUGGUGAGAUUUUCCAGCACUGGAGAAGUAUCUGAAGCCCUGAAGAGGGAUAGGGGAUACAUUGGUUCUCGGUAUGUGGAGAUUUGUCCAACGUCAGAAGACGAUUGGCGUCGGACAACUGGAAGGAAACCCAUGAAUACAAACCCAGGAGACAACCUGUUUGAAAGACAUGGAUCACCACCUCGUGGUCAAAAGAAUUUCCAACACCAUAUGAGGUCACAAUCACCUAUAGGCCAGAGGGUGUCAUCAUCCAGUGAGGAGUACUGCGUUUUGGUGGAAAAUAUCUCCUUUGCAGUGGAAAAGGAGGACAUAAAAAUACUUUUUCGCCACGCUAGACUUGAUGAUGACCAGAUUUUGUUCAUAAAUUAUGAAGAUCGGAAAAGUAGGUCUGCGUUUGUACUCUUUAAGUCUCUGCGGGAGUAUCGUGAGGCAUUAGACCAGGAUACGCAAUCCUUUUUCAGUCGAAUGAUUCAUAUCCGGCCAAUCAUGAGAGAGAAAAUGAUAGCCAUUUUGAAAUCUCAGAACCUGGAUGUCGGCCCUUCUGGAAACUCCAGAAGGGUUAAUGAGAGGCCUCCAUCCCACCCCAGGGAUAAUCCUGACCCGGAGCAGUGCUUGCUUGUGCAAAAUCUGCCCUUCGACGUGCGCAAAAUGGAGGUCAUGGACAUCUUCUUUGGGUUGAAUAUCUCGGAAGAUGACGUGCACUUGCUGCGUGACAAUACUGGUGCAGGGACUGGCAAGGCUUUGGUUCUUUUCCCUUCCGAGUCAGCAGCCGUGAGGGGCCUCGCUCUCGACGGACGAAGGUUUCUUGGUGCGGUGGUCUCUCUCAGAUGCAUUUCCCGCGCACAGAUGCGGGAGUUGAUCGCAGGGCCGCAGGCGGUCCACGGGCCACAACGAACAUCCAGUGAGUUCCAAGGCGCUGGUGACAGUGAGUACUAUGGCUUCGGGGGCUCUUAUGCUGGUGAGAUGGCAAUAAAUGUGGGGCCUCAAACUCAGGGAGCCUUUAAGUCUUAUGAAGAGCCACUCAACAGAGGCAAUGGUGCUCAAAGCAGCGGUGAUCCACCGAGGCAGCAUUUUACUGGGCCCACCUGUGUAAAGCUAGUUAAUUUACCAUUCCAAAUAAAAACGGAAGAAAUCUAUGAUUUUUGCCAUGGAUAUCGUAUUAUCCCAGGAUCCAUCUCAUUGCAGUACGACAGGAGUGGAGCAUUUAAAGGUACUGCGACUGUGGUAUUUGAGACUAGGCAGGAGGCAGUGAUAGCAGUCGAGGAACUCAAUGGGAGGCCAAUAGGUGCUCGAAAGAUUCAGCUGCUGUUUGUUUGAAAGUGACUUUGGGUUUUUGACACAGCCAACCUGCUCAAGUGGUCUGGUUUGAACACGUGAUUCUCUGUCGAGGAAAAUUUUGUUUUUUUAGACGAACACUUUGUGAUGUUUUUUGUUUUUGUCAUAUUUUGUGAUAAUUGGUGAAGGCUGUGUAUUCACCUUUUGAAUGAUUUUAGUCACUGAUGUGCAUUUGCAACAAAACUUUCAUCUUGCAUAACAUUUGACUGCAUCCAGGGGAAAGUCCCAUUAUAUUACUUUGUCAGCUCUUUAUUGUAAUGUUUAUUAAAAAUACACUGCUUUCAAUUAAUUUGUCCUCCUUUUACUGUAACCAAUAUACAAUACAAUACAAUAUAACCAAUUUGCUCAUGACAUCUUUUUGUCUCAUGUAUAAAAAAUACGCGUUUGUGUGUUCUUUGCCUCACCCACUAAUAAUUUGACCUACGUUUUUUUUUUUGGGUUCAAAUAAAGAGUGGAAGCUACAUUUUGCAUUGCUUAAAAAGACGUUACCGAUCCUGAAAAUCACGAGACCACCACUAGUUGACAAAUGAGCUUUAUUUUGAAACUACUAGCUUUAUUUUGAAACUACCGGAUAUAUAUAUGUAUAUAUAUAUAUUUUUUUUAGCUUGAUGGAGGGUGGUGACUGACUAUUAAACGCGCAGGAGCAUCGAAGGAAGAAGUACAACAGGUGAAUUAAUUUAGUGUAAAUACUACAUGCGAAUUAAUUUCUUGGUGGAAAUACAAAACAAGUUACUGCGGGCAUACGACAAAAACCUGAAAGUGUCAAUGUGCAAAACCCUGUAUAUGGUAAUGUUAAAGUUCAAGUACCGCCAUCAACAGACAGUCAAACUAGUUGUAAAAUAAAAGUCAAAAAUAUGGAUACGUUUAACUAAAACUGAAUGUUAAGUUGUGAAAGAUGCAACAGCUAGCCUUCAUCUAUUGACGCGCUUUGGAAAAUUGGGACUCUCGGGAUUUUCAACGGCUAACGUGACAAAUAUUCAAUAAAAAAAACAAAAAAACACCCCCACCCCAAAAAAAAAAAUCACUUUGUGAGCAGGAAACUUUUGUAAACUCGAAAUAAUGUUAAAUCCCAAUUAACCGUGUUGUUGGCUCCAUCCUUAAGCUAAUGUGGCUUAGCAGCAGAUUUUGCCCUGCUGCUAAAAUAAGCGAAGUGAAUUUUUUGAUAAUAUAAUUUAAGUAACCCGUUUGUAGUUGAACCAUCGUUUAGCACUGAAUGUCGGCAGUACACGCACACUAGCAAGCGCAAUUUGUGAAAUGGACUUAAAACAGACAAAAUGUACCAUUUUUGUAGCACUUGUGUGAAACAGUUUAGCUUCGAGCGUAAUUUGCUAUGCAAACAUGAAAAAAAAAGAAAAUUUACUUGGCAGUCAACCGUAAAAUAAAUGAAGUAGGCAAUAACGUAGUAAAUUCAAAAUGUAAAUGGUUUGUGUGAUGGGUUCAUUUAAGUUAAUGCAAUGAGACACGAGGUGGGUUCGUUAAAUGUAGUUAGUCUAAUGGACCUUGAGGUACAGUGCUCAACAUACUGCAUAAGUGCACACCUCAUAUGUUUGUUAGACAGCCUUGUGAUAUUGCACUUAAAACUACUCCCACAAAUGUGUACUAUUCGUUGCAAAUGAAAUUUGUCAACAUGCACAGACGGGAAUGUUUGUAUUAAGUACAGGCCAAUAAAUCUAGUAAAGCUUCAUUUUAGAUUAAACUAGUCUCGUUCACAAGAAUUCAACCCCAUGAGCGUGUACGCAAAUAAAAUUCCGGAAAAGGUUCUAAUCCUGACUGAGUAAUGGCCGAAAAGCUUGCUUUUCAAAGCGUGUGAACUCAUUUUGGCCAAAGUUAGCUGAGAAAGGCUCCCGUUCACUAGCAGCUCGUGGAAACGGAUGAAUGUGUUUAUGAACCUAAUAAGUCGAGAAGCACAUUUCAAUAUUAUUGAGGUCAGAAUGGACGUGUCAAGGAGACAAAUCCAGAAGCACCUGGAACCCGCAAGACCCCUACGCCGUCUUCUCCAUGUUGACAUUGAACCCACACUAAAUGCUGCUUCGUGUACACAGGCUUUGAAUGACAUUCUGGAUCAAACGACAAAUAUUGAAAUAGAGCAGUUCUGCAAGAUUGUCAACCUCCAAGAGAAAAAAGCGAGAGUAUCUUACACAAGAGAUUUUUUAAUCGGUCUUGCGAGUAGUCCCGCGGCCAUGAAGAAGCCUGAGUGUUUACCAGACCACCCUGUCGUCUUACCCAGUGCACAGAAAUAUCCAAGAUAUCUGUGGGUCAAUGAAACCAAUGGAAAUUAUAGAAAAGAGGUCGCGGGGUGUCGGAGCCUAUCCCAGCUGACGUCUGGCGAAAGGCGGACUACACCCUGAACUGGUCAACAAAAAGAGAUUGAUAAGCAUUCACAUGGUCACCGAGUGGAAACUGAACCCAGACUGCCUGCACUGAAGUCAGGAGAAGAAUGUACCACUACACCAUUAGUGACGUUUGACCCUUUUCCAAAACCUUUUAUUUAACUGAAUGUUUAUUUUAUUUUUAUUUAUUUUGUUUGUUUUGAGUUCACAUGUUCAAAAUAAAGAGUUCAGUCAAUCUGCAGCAAGGGAUCAUGUUGAAAACAAUUAAGUUCUAUUCAUUGAAGACAAACACAAACUGAACUCCAGGCUACUUUCUAUAAUUUUCAGAAACGCAAAUGACUCAUUGUGUAAAGAAAUCAAUCAUUUUUCAACUUUAUGAUCACAACAUCUUAACGAUGGCAGGGUUAGGACAAGAAGCUUUACUUUUGCCACAUAUACGCUACCUUCAAGAUCAAACGUCAGAGGGGAUGUUGAGACCAACCAGAUUCAUUAUGAUACUGUAUUUGAUUCCACACAAUAUGCUUGAAAUUUUGAUUAGGUUGCAACUUUAGGCUUUUGGUGAUAACCCUAAUGAGGAGAAGCGGCUCAGAAAAGGGAUGGAUGGAUGUAUUUUGAUGUGAAAAGUGUUUGUAAAAGUACUGUUAACCGACCCCUGCUUAGUUGACUUUUUCUGUGCCUUAUUGGAUUUAUAUUUUAACUUAGCUAUUGUUACUUCUCAUUAUUUAUUUAACCUAUUAUGUAUACUUUAUUUCCAAGAAACAAUAACCACUCUCAUCUCAUGGAAUUGUAUAUUUGUGUUUUGAUUGCUGUUUGCUACUGUAUUUUAUGACGGUGUUCGAUAAAAGAGGCCCAAGAUGGAUGCUUACA